UACGUAGGGGGCUAGCGUUGUCCGGAUUUAUUGGGCGUAAAGAGCGUGUAGGCGGCCAGGUAGGUCUGCUGUGAAAACUCGAGGCUCAACCUCGAGAUGUCGGCGGAAACCAUCUGGCUAGAGUCCGGAAGAGGAAAGUGGAAUUCCUGGUGUAGCGGUGAAAUGCGCAGAUAUCAGGAGGAACACCAAUAGCGAAGGCAGCUCGCUGGGACGUUACUGACACUGAGGCGCGAAAGCGUGGGGAGCGAACAGG
RNAcentral lists this ribosomal RNA (253 nucleotides) under uncultured bacterium. Its description in RNAcentral is "partial 16S ribosomal RNA". It matches the Rfam family "Bacterial small subunit ribosomal RNA", at positions 524 to 776 of the family's 1533-position model. The record is from RNAcentral.